This 433-nucleotide ribosomal RNA is filed under the name uncultured bacterium. Its description in RNAcentral is "partial 16S ribosomal RNA". It matches the Rfam family "Bacterial small subunit ribosomal RNA", at positions 29 to 507 of the family's 1533-position model. The record is from RNAcentral.
AACGAACGCUGGCGGCAUGCCUAACACAUGCAGGUCGAACGAGACCUUCGGGUCUAGUGGCGCACGGGUGCGUAACGCGUGGGAACCUGCCCUUAGGUUCGGAAUAACUCCCCGAAAGGGGUGCUAAUACCGGAUAAUGUCUUCGGACCAAAGAUUUAUCGCCUUUGGAUGGACCCGCGUUGGAUUAGCUAGUUGGUAGGGUAAAAGCCUACCAAGGCGACGAUCCAUAGCUGGUCUGAGAGGAUGAUCAGCCACACUGGGACUGAGACACGGCCCAGACUCCUACGGGAGGCAGCAGUGGGGAAUAUUGGACAAUGGGCGAAAGCCUGAUCCAGCAAUGCCGCGUGAGUGAUGAAGGCCUUAGGGUUGUAAAGCUCUUUUACCCGGGAUGAUAAUGACAGUACCGGGAGAAUAAGCUCCGGCUAACUCCGUG